This is a non-coding RNA of Sturnus vulgaris (Common starling), 2773 nucleotides long. The record is from RefSeq and is a predicted model, not a curated record. NCBI's taxonomy places the organism in Eukaryota, Metazoa, Chordata, Aves, Passeriformes, Sturnidae.
AAAUAUCCAAUCUAAACCUCUCCUGGUGCAACUUGAGUCUGAUUCCUCUCAUCCUAACUAUUAUUACCUGUGAGAAGAGACCAAUCCCACUUCGCUACAGCCUCCUUUCAGGCAGUUGUAUAUAGCCAUGAAUAUUCCCAUUAGCCUCCUUCUUUCCAGGGUAAACAACCCCAGCCCACUCAGCUGCUUCUCAUAAAAUUCAUGCUCCAGACCCUUCACCAGCUUUGUUACUCUUUGGAUGCUCUUCGGCACCUCUUGUAUGUUAUUUCUAACUCAUUAAAUUUUAGGUCAAGGAAAGGAUUGCAGAUCACAUGUUUGGCCUUUUUAUCUUAUGGUGACAGUUUCGUACUUUCAGUUUUUUUGGAAAGAGCAUUUUGACAGUUUCCUGUCUUGGGAAUGUUGCUUUACACCAUUUAUAAUCUGUGUCUUUAAAUAUUUUUAGAAACAGGUCAACAGAUUUGUGAUGCUUCUCCAGAAAAAUUAUAGAUAGAUGAUGUGUGUUGUGUGAAACCCAAAGAAAAUAGGAUGACUGUGGAAACCUUUUGGCAAUAUCCAGCCUGGAAACUUGUGCUUUAAUGUGAAGGUUUAUAAUUGUUCCAUAAAGAAAAGUAAGCUCUUUGUCGUCAUAAACACAUUAAGAAAAGCAUGCCUGGGAUCAAGGUAAUUUCAGAUAAAUUACACUGCUUGGAGUCUGUUCACGCCUCUGCUGGAAAAUAUAUAGGUGUCAUCUGUCAAGUACUGUGUUUCUUUUAUAUUAAACACAUCUAGGCCUGCUGGGUGGUAAGUGGGAGGCUUAGAGUGGACAGGGUGAGAUUUAUUAGUUCUUUUACUCUAAUGGUUGUUGCUGUGUUUCAUUCAACAUUCUUGAAUUUUCCAAAGACUUCGCGUUUUAGUGGAAGAUGGUGGAUUUUCUACAGCUCUAGAAAAUCAGGCCUUCAGUCUCAAGCUAGCACUUUCUGAAUUCUAGUUUUAAUGUUUUAAGGUAGAAAUUAGUAAAAAUUUGUUCUAUUACUGGCCAUUAAAAUGCAGCAACAAAGCAUUUGCGAACUGCCUUUCUACUGUUAAUAUCCCCCAAUUGAGAUUUUUUUCUUUUUUUUUCUUUCUUUUUGUAGUGCUGUCUUCCAGUUACAGGUUUCAAGAGUUAUCUGCUUUCCAGAUCUGAAUGGAAUUCUUCUGCAUCAGGACAAUUGGUAACUUAUUCUUGGGAGAUGGAGAAAGUUGCAGUUCCUUUGAGAAGUCUAAGGACUUCAGCAGUUGUAGACAUUUUUUCCUAUUAAAAUGCCUGUCACCAGGUAUCAUAUCAUGCCCUUCUGAAACCUUUGCCAAAAUUUGAGACUCAGACUGUGUUGUACAGCGUUAGUGGUAGAUGCAUUCCAUGGAGUGGCAAUGUUGGGAUUUGGCACUCUGUUAAAAAUAGCAUUUUGAGAUAAAUUAUUUGUUGCACUGUAGGAAGACUUGUUCAGGAACAAGCAUAAUGGGUUAGUGCUAACAUCCAUCUUGCCCCCAGUACUUUGAUCCUGACAGUUCUGCAGAGGAACUGAUUUUGGAGCCAGUGCCAUAAUCUCCAUUCUCUGUUGGCAAGAAGCCUAUUCUUGUUCUUCUAAAGUUUUUACUCUGAAGUGUAAAGCUUGGUAUUUAAAAAAAAAGAGUAAAAUUAUUAUUCCUAUGGAUAUGUUAUGAAAACUUCUGUUCCACCUUUACAUAUUUAUAGACCUGUUUCGGUGACUUCCUACAGGUGAAUUUUACUGACACUGUAUGAUUAUAUUUUUGUCCUUAAAAAUAAAUUAUUUUCUCUUUUUCUUGACAGGAGGGACAGGUGUUCCUGCUCAUCCCUUCAGUAUCAUUGUUUCAUUUCUCUUCAAUUAAUCGAAAUAUCUGGUGAGCUGUACUGAUUGCAAAGAGAAGAGAGGUUCUCUGGUUGAUUAUGAUGACACACUGUGGGAAAAGCCUGAGUGUAGCUGACAAUCUUAUGUUACAUAGGUGACUCAAGACAGCAGAUCAUUUCAGAAAGUCAGCUUACAGAUAUCAUUUAACCACUUACAUUUUUGCAUACCCUCUUUAAAGGAAAUUUUGGUAAUAGCUGACAGUAUGUCUUUGAAUUAAAACAUUGACAUUCAGUAUUGUCAGUGAAGAUUUUCAGACUGUGUAUGAAGAUCUUGUAUACAUGGCUGAAAUGGUAGCAUCUCUUUACAAAUGAUUUGGGUUUAGGGCCAGUUGUUUCUCACAGAAGGGAAAAGAGAUACUGUAUUUGUUUUGGUAAGAUAGUGUGCUUUUACUUCAUCCUGUUUCACUUUUGCAUAGUUACCUAAACUACUUUUCAUAGGACUGUUCAGCAGAAAGCAGAGAUCACCUAAUUGAUACUUAAAGUUGUUGGACUUCUGUAAGAAAUGUAGUUUGGUUCUCCUGCAAGGUGUUUACAUUUUUGUGCAUUUGUUUGUUGUGGUUUGGGAGGGGUUUUGUUUGUUUUUUUAAAUGCAAAGCAAGUGCUUUGAUUCCCGGUGGUUGGGGAAACUGUGCUAAACUUAUGCUUUACUCUUUCUUGUCAGGUUGUCUGUCGCUGUGCUAACUUGAAGAGGUGACCAUUUGCUGUGAGUUAAUAAUGUUCAUGCUCUCUCCUAUGAAUCUCUCCUCCUUUUCCUUCUAUGAACCAACAACACAAAAGGAACACACUGUGCAAGAUUUUCUCCUUGCAGUUAAUAGUACCAAGCACUCAUUUUGUUGAGAAAAACACUCUUUAAAACAUACUACAAUAAAAAAAGUAAAUGCUCUGCUA